GUCUCCCGGGAGUUGUAGUUCCGCCCAGUCCAGGGGCAUCUCGGCUGUGCCCGGAGGUCUCCCACAGCAAUCUGCGCACUUCCGGACCUUUGGCGGGGUUCGCGUGGCCGGCACCUGGGACUUAGCCAGUCCUGAGGCUCCCGCUGCAUCUGGGACUGACGAUUCCCUCUGCCCCCGCGGUAGAGAGGGCACGUGUGGCAGAGCCACGGCUGCAGAGCUGGCGGGCCCUGGGAGGGGUUCUCUGCUAGGGGGGUCCGGUGGGCGGCUCUGUCUGACGUCUACUGGGGAGGGUCAGGGUUCCUGUCUGGUUUGGGGCGGGAGCUGUGGGCAGGCUGGUCUCAUUGCUUUGCUUUAUAGCCCAGAGUCGUCGGAGCCCACCGUCCGUCCACAGAGGGCUUAGCGCGGUGGACCCGUGACAGCCUUGGCCCCGGUCCCUGAACUCCGCCUGGGUGGCCGGGCCUCCCGUGGGUGAGGAGGGACUGCUGAGGAAGCCCCCCCCCCCCCCCUUCUGUCCGACCCUUUGUCACUCCUUCGGACCCCACAUCACAGCCAACGGUUCUGUUCAUGGCGAUGUGGAGUUGUCUGUUUCCCCUCGUGGCGUGUGUGUUCCGUGUGUUUGAGCUGCACGCUCAUCACGCUCGUGUGUUGGUGUUCUUAGUGUCUAUUGCAAAGGCUUAGAGACAGGCCGUGACCAGGCAGUUCAGUCCUGCUGUGGAUUCCAGCUCCUUCUAACCCCCAGACGGCCUCCAGGCGGGAGCUGAGCCUCCGGCCACGGUAAGUUCUCAGCAGGAGAGCAGAGCUUUGCCAGUUGGAGUUGACCCCAGUCCUCAAGCCCCAGGCACCCCACCGAUAGAAUAAUUCUUGGAAAGAAGGUGACCCGACAGCAGCAAUCUACUUUGGAAGCAGGGCUCCCUCUCUGAGCUCCCUCUCGUAGCUUAGGGAUAAAGUUGGAGGUCACAGAAUGGGGUGGCUUCCAGAAAGUGUCCCUAAAACAGCUGAGGACGAGCUUGCUGACCGUGAAUUUGGGUGAUGCCAUCGCAUUAGGG
Acinonyx jubatus (cheetah) is the source of this 1046-nucleotide long non-coding RNA. RefSeq lists it as uncharacterized. NCBI's taxonomy places the organism in Eukaryota, Metazoa, Chordata, Mammalia, Carnivora, Felidae. The record is from RefSeq and is a predicted model, not a curated record. The transcript is spliced from 4 exons.